AGAGUUUGAUCCUGGCUCAGAGUGAACGCUGGCGGCAGGCCUAAUACAUGCAAGUCGAACGGCAGCACAGCAGAGCUUGCUCUGUGGUGGCGAGUGGCGGACGGGUGAGGAAUACGUGGGAAUCUGCCCAGUCGUGGGGGAUAACGUAGGGAAACUUACGCUAAUACCGCAUGCGCCCUUCGGGGGAAAGCCGGGGACCUUCGGGCCUGGCGCGAUUGGAUGAGCCCACGUCGGAUUAGCUAGUUGGCGGGGUAAAGGCCCACCAAGGCGACGAUCCGUAGCUGGUCUGAGAGGAUGAUCAGCCACACUGGAACUGAGACACGGUCCAGACUCCUACGGGAGGCAGCAGUAGGGAAUAUUGGACAAUGGGCGCAAGCCUGAUCCAGCCAUGCCGCGUGAGUGAAGAAGGCCCUCGGGUUGUAAAGCUCUUUUGUCCGGAAAGAAAAGCGCCGGGUUAAUACCCUGGUGUCCUGACGGUACCGGAAGAAUAAGCACCGGCUAACUUCGUG
Molecule: ribosomal RNA, 509 nt
Filed under: uncultured bacterium
Lineage: Bacteria
Description: bacterial SSU rRNA
Rfam family: Bacterial small subunit ribosomal RNA
Source: RNAcentral